This is an RNA transcript of Cyprinus carpio (common carp), 2678 nucleotides long. RefSeq lists it as uncharacterized. Lineage: Eukaryota; Metazoa; Chordata; Actinopteri; Cypriniformes; Cyprinidae. The transcript has 20 exons. The record is from RefSeq and is a predicted model, not a curated record.
CGUCAAAAUGAAGCGCCAUGCGACUGCUGAUCUAUUGAAAAAAAAAAAAAAAAAGUCACGAGUUCAUCGGAAUAAAGUUUUCGGAGACUCAUUUUUGUUCUACUCAAAGUUUAUAUAGCUACAGUUGGCAGAAACUUUCUAUGGUCAUGUACGUUUCUUUGCUGUGGUUUCUUUUGUUUGGUUUAUGUCCUAUCUCUGUUCCUGAUUCCAUACCUAUUGGUAUGUUCAGGACAGAGUGCCAUGAUCGUCAUUUCUGGUUGUCUGUCAACUCAAAUUUCCUGGGCCACAAAUUUAGGUUCAAUGUUCAAGCAGACUCUAAGGUCCAUGAGGUUUCUGGUCAGUGGGCAGCAGAGUGUGGUUAUACUAUGGCUCUUGACUCCUGGGGUGACCUGCUGCUGCGUGUUUCCUAUCUUGCCUGUCUGGUGGAGAACCAGAGGGAGACUGAAUUUCAGUUGCUGGUGUGGUUUAUAAAUCAGGACUCAAAUGGGAAGGAAAAAUCCUAUCCUUUACUUCUCACCUGCCCUCUCCAGGUCCCAUGGGCACCUCGGGAGCUUGUCUGUGAGCAGAACUACAUGGAGGUGUCUGUGCUGAAACUGCUGCCUCCUGAUAAUCACAUAGGCACAGCAUGGGUAACACCAGCCCCUGUGGAGUUGGGAGAGGGUCUGUUGGAAUGGAGGGUGGUGUUCCGUAUACCAGCAUUCAGUCAGGGGGGUGGCAUGAGGGAGGAGACAGUUCCAGUGAGAAUGGCACACUUGCUGGGCUACCACAUUAACACCACUGACUCUCGCAUCCUCCUCCGUUGUGCCUAUGGAUCCAAACUGGCAUACAUGCUACAGUGGGGUGAGACUGAUGUGGAAGUGGUCAGUGCCACCAUCUUGUACAAGCUUAAAUGGACCCUGUUGACUGUCGACAUGUCAGUGGCCUGCACCAUUGGACAAGCCCGAAUGGAUGGUUCUGAUGUAUUGUGGUCUCUCCCUCGUGACCUUCCCACUCUGGUCCAUCCUCCCUUCAUAGAAAAGGUUCUUAAGUUGGGUGUUGGGGGACGGUACCUGUCUGAGUGUGUUGCCCACCAGCGUGGUUACAUGAUUCACGACAACAACAGAACACUGGAGCUACGUAUUCCUUUCGGAGCUGAAGGAGGAUUCAUCAAGAGUCAUGUAAUUGAUGGACUGUACUCUCAGUCAUAUUUUGUGGAUGUGUUCCUGCUGCGUGAAUGGGAGGAUACAGCAUGGAGUCUGACUCAGCAGCGGAUAUUUAGAGCACUUUUUAUUCAACACUUGCCCCGACCAGUCACACUUAUUAACAAGACUGUGCCUUCACAGAGGGAGUUUUCCAUCUCAUUGUGCUGUUUUCCUCAUGAUGUUUCUUUGGGGAAUGUGACUGUAGCAGGUCAGCCAGUGCUUUGGGAGGAAAUGGAAUGGAAAGGAGUUCAUCUCUCUCAAAAUCCUUUUCCCAACAACACCUACAUGUAUCUGUUUCAGAUGCCCUUCUCUAAUUCACUCAUCCCACAAAAGUAUUUGGGAGACAGGUUUAGGAGGUACACUCUUUAUGGGGUCUUCUCCUUCAUUCUGUUUCCUGAUGGAGAAAUCUACAACCAUUCUGCUACUGUUGAGGCAGAGCUGCAGGAUGUCGUCUUGCCAAAGCUUAAAGGGGAGUGUACAGCACGAGGUGUGCAUACAUUGGCAUACUAUGGUAAUAUAGACUCCUCUGAGUGGCGUUUGUAUGUAGGAGGGAUGAGGGUUGACUGGGAGCUGGUGGAGCUUGGGGGAUUCUCUCUGGAUCCCCACGAACUCUACCUUAGCCUGGAAGUUCCACUCUAUGCCCCUGGCAUGGCCUAUGAGGGCUUAGGACUGCAAGGUCUGUUAGUGAGUGUUCUGGUGAGUUUAGUUCAUCUGGAAACAGCAGAAGAACAGACUCAUGUGCAGCGCUGCGUGUUCCCUGUGAGAGAGUUAUUGGUGUGUCUGCCUGAUGGAAGAAUGGUGGUGAUGGUCGACACUGCUGGUGUUUCUCCCCCAGUAAACCCCAAUCACACAGCCCUCCUGGAUCCUGCUUGUAGACCACUGGAGACUGACAAUUCCAGAGCCAUAUUCAGUUUCUCCAUAGACUCUUGUGGCACUGUCGCAACACAUGAUGGUGAUCAGGUGAUUUACAGGAAUGAGGUGAGAAACAUGCCCCCUUUUCCUCCACACCUGAGACCCCUCAGCCAACCUCAACCACAUUAUAGGGUUUCACUUGGCUGUGUCCAUCCAGAAAAUGGAAGUCGCACUCUUGCCAUCUACCUGCCAUCCCAAUCUCCCACACUUCUACCUAUGGAACACGCACACAAAACAGCCUUGCACUCACACACGAGGCAUCCUGAGGGCAGAGUUAAAAAAAUCCACUCACUGCCAGCUGGAGGAUGACACCCUUAAAGACCUGCAAGAGAUUGGAGAAGAGGGCCUUCCUAUCAUGAAUGACAAGAGUCUCACUGAGUUCCCGUGACCCCAGGAAAUGAUCCUUCAGAACACGCAGGGAGCGUAGGUAGGAGGCCUCAGAGUGCGACUGAGUUUAUGUAACACUCCACUUUCCUUCACCACUGUUAAAUCCUGCCAGAGUGUAUUCUCUUCAAGGCCUCUCUUGGAUCGGGUGCCAACCACCCCCAGCCCCCGGGGACCCUCAAGGCCUAGGGUUUCACUAAC